This 233-nucleotide long non-coding RNA is filed under the name Trifolium pratense (red clover). Its description in RNAcentral is "long non-coding RNA (TPRA_LNC011429)". The record is from RNAcentral. Lineage: Eukaryota; Viridiplantae; Streptophyta; Magnoliopsida; Fabales; Fabaceae.
UGAUUAUGUGAUAAAUGAAGUAUAUGCAUGAUAUAUGAAUAUGCAUGAAUGAUGGUGAUGUAUAUGUAUAAUGUAUGAUUAUGCAUGUUUUUAUGAAGAAGUGUUUAAGUACCAUUUCUUACACUUAUAUUUUGAGUAUGUUAUCUAACUCUCUUUUAUGUGUUAUGUGCUGGACCGUUGGGGGUCCAGAUUUUACAGGAUUUUGUGGUAUUCGAUGUCGAGUCGUCGGUGAA